Molecule: ribosomal RNA, 616 nt
Filed under: uncultured bacterium
Lineage: Bacteria
Description: bacterial SSU rRNA
Rfam family: Bacterial small subunit ribosomal RNA
Source: RNAcentral
CCUACGGGAGGCAGCAGUAGGGAAUCUUCCGCAAUGGACGAAAGUCUGACGGAGCAACGCCGCGUGAACGAUGAAGGCCUUCGGGUCGUAAAGUUCUGUUGUUAGGGAAGAACAAGUGCUAGUUAAAUAAGCUGGCACCUUGACGGUACCUAACCAGAAAGCCACGGCUAACUACGUGCCAGCAGCCGCGGUAAUACGUAGGUGGCAAGCGUUGUCCGGAAUUAUUGGGCGUAAAGCGCGCGCAGGCGGUUUCUUAAGUCUGAUGUGAAAGCCCCCGGCUCAACCGGGGAGGGUCAUUGGAAACUGGGAAACUUGAGUGCAGAAGAGGAAAGUGGAAUUCCAAGUGUAGCGGUGAAAUGCGUAGAGAUUUGGAGGAACACCAGUGGCGAAGGCGACUUUCUGGUCUGUAACUGACGCUGAGGCGCGAAAGCGUGGGGAGCAAACAGGAUUAGAUACCCUGGUAGUCCACGCUGUAAACGAUGAGUGCUAAGUGUUAGAGGGUUUCCGCCUUUAGUGCUGAAGUUAACGCAUUAAGCACUCCGCCUGGGGAGUACGGUCGCAAGCUGAAACUCAAAGGAUUGACGGCUUGAAGNGNGCGAGNGACGACGAGGAGAGG